ACGGAAGGCAGCAGUGGGGAAUAUUGCACAAUGGGGGAAACCCUGAUGCAGCGACGCCGCGUGAGUGAAGAAGUAUUUCGGUAUGUAAGCUCUAUCAGCAGGAAAGAAAAUGACGGUACCUGACUAAGAAGCCCCGGCUAACUACGUGCCAGCAGCCGCGGUAAUACGUAGGGGGCAAGCGUUAUCCGGAUUUACUGGGUGUAAAGGGAGCGUAGACGGCUUUGCAAGUCUGAAGUGAAAGCCCGGGGCUCAACCCCGGAACUGCUUUGGAAACUGUAGAGCUAGAGUGCAGGAGAGGUAAGUGGAAUUCCUAGUGUAGCGGUGAAAUGCGUAGAUAUUAGGAGGAACACCAGUGGCGAAGGCGGCUUACUGGACUGUAACUGACGUUGAGGCUCGAAGGCGUGGGGAGCAAACAGGAUUAGAUACCCUGGUA
Molecule: ribosomal RNA, 433 nt
Filed under: uncultured Clostridium sp.
Lineage: Bacteria; Bacillati; Bacillota; Clostridia; Eubacteriales; Clostridiaceae
Also listed under: 1 other name
Description: partial 16S ribosomal RNA
Rfam family: Bacterial small subunit ribosomal RNA
Source: RNAcentral